AGAGUUUGAUCCUGGCUCAGGAUGAACGCUGGCGGCGUGCCUAAUACAUGCAAGUCGAGCGAACGGACGAGAAGCUUGCUUCUCUGAUGUUAGCGGCGGACGGGUGAGUAACACGUGGAUAACCUACCUAUAAGACUGGGAUAACUUCGGGAAACCGGAGCUAAUACCGGAUAAUAUUUUGAACCGCAUGGUUCAAAAGUGAAAGACGGUCUUGCUGUCACUUAUAGAUGGAUCCGCGCUGCAUUAGCUAGUUGGUAAGGUAACGGCUUACCAAGGCAACGAUGCAUAGCCGACCUGAGAGGGUGAUCGGCCACACUGGAACUGAGACACGGUCCAGACUCCUACGGGAGGCAGCAGUAGGGAAUCUUCCGCAAUGGGCGAAAGCCUGACGGAGCAACGCCGCGUGAGUGAUGAAGGUCUUCGGAUCGUAAAACUCUGUUAUUAGGGAAGAACAUAUGUGUAAGUAACUGUGCACAUCUUGACGGUACCUAAUCAGAAAGCCACGGCUAACUACGUGCCAGCAGCCGCGGUAAUACGUAGGUGGCAAGCGUUAUCCGGAAUUAUUGGGCGUAAAGCGCGCGUAGGCGGUUUUUUAAGUCUGAUGUGAAAGCCCACGGCUCAACCGUGGAGGGUCAUUGGAAACUGGAAAACUUGAGUGCAGAAGAGGAAAGUGGAAUUCCAUGUGUAGCGGUGAAAUGCGCAGAGAUAUGGAGGAACACCAGUGGCGAAGGCGACUUUCUGGUCUGUAACUGACGCUGAUGUGCGAAAGCGUGGGGAUCAAACAGGAUUAGAUACCCUGGUAGUCCACGCCGUAAACGAUGAGUGCUAAGUGUUAGGGGGUUUCCGCCCCUUAGUGCUGCAGCUAACGCAUUAAGCACUCCGCCUGGGGAGUACGACCGCAAGGUUGAAACUCAAAGGAAUUGACGGGGACCCGCACAAGCGGUGGAGCAUGUGGUUUAAUUCGAAGCAACGCGAAGAACCUUACCAAAUCUUGACAUCCUUUGACAACUCUAGAGAUAGAGCCUUCCCCUUCGGGGGACAAAGUGACAGGUGGUGCAUGGUUGUCGUCAGCUCGUGUCGUGAGAUGUUGGGUUAAGUCCCGCAACGAGCGCAACCCUUAAGCUUAGUUGCCAUCAUUAAGUUGGGCACUCUAAGUUGACUGCCGGUGACAAACCGGAGGAAGGUGGGGAUGACGUCAAAUCAUCAUGCCCCUUAUGAUUUGGGCUACACACGUGCUACAAUGGACAAUACAAAGGGCAGCGAAACCGCGAGGUCAAGCAAAUCCCAUAAAGUUGUUCUCAGUUCGGAUUGUAGUCUGCAACUCGACUACAUGAAGCUGGAAUCGCUAGUAAUCGUAGAUCAGCAUGCUACGGUGAAUACGUUCCC
RNAcentral lists this ribosomal RNA (1386 nucleotides) under Staphylococcus aureus. RNAcentral describes it as "bacterial SSU rRNA". It matches the Rfam family "Bacterial small subunit ribosomal RNA", at positions 8 to 1375 of the family's 1533-position model. The record is from RNAcentral. RNAcentral also lists the same sequence under 2 other names. Lineage: Bacteria; Bacillati; Bacillota; Bacilli; Caryophanales; Staphylococcaceae.